GACGAACGCUGGCGGCGUGCUUAACACAUGCAAGUCGAACGGAAAGGCCCUGCUUUUGUGGGGUGCUCGAGUGGCGAACGGGUGAGUAACACGUGAGUAACCUGCCCUUGACUUUGGGAUAACUUCAGGAAACUGGGGCUAAUACCGGAUAGGAGCUCCUGCUGCAUGGUGGGGGUUGGAAAGUUUCGGCGGUUGGGGAUGGACUCGCGGCUUAUCAGCUUGUUGGUGGGGUAGUGGCUUACCAAGGCUUUGACGGGUAGCCGGCCUGAGAGGGAGACCGGCCCCAUUGGCCUAGGGAAGGGGCCCAUGCGCAUAUGGGGGGAAGGGGGGGGAAAUUGAGCCAAAAGGGCGGAGGGCGUGAAGAAGACCGCCGGGUGGGGAAGGACGGCUGUCGGGUUAGAAACCCUUUUCCCUUGUGACGAAGGGGGAUGAGGGGAAAGGGAUAAAAAAGCCCGGGUAAAUAAGUG
This 467-nucleotide ribosomal RNA is filed under the name uncultured bacterium. Its description in RNAcentral is "partial 16S ribosomal RNA". It matches the Rfam family "Bacterial small subunit ribosomal RNA", at positions 28 to 507 of the family's 1533-position model. The record is from RNAcentral.